CCCAAAAGGGGAAUGGUGGGGUGGUGUGGGGGGGGGGGGGGUGUAUAUGUAUAAUGGAAAUACAUACAUGAUGUAGAUGAUGUCAUUAUCAUGCUACAGGCUAGAGGUGUGUGUGUGUGUGAGAUGUCGCUGACGUCAACGCUGAGUUGGCAUGUGUUUAAUGUGGAAAUAAAUAUGCAAACAGUGACAUGGGGCUCCCAAAACAGAUUUUUUUUUUUGGGGGGGGGGUAUUUUUUAGGGGUGUAACAUACUUUCCUACAGUUUACUGCUGAAACAAAAUGCUGUACGUUUAAUCAAAAAAUAAUGGUGACUGUACAUUUGUUUUUUUCAGGUAUAGCAUUUGUUAAUGCAACUUGGUUUUAACUUGUACAAUAAUGACAGCAGUGUAUGUAGUCAAAUGCACGAGCUCACUAAUAUGUCUUCAAUUCAAAUAUGUAUUCAUUUUUGAAAGCAGUCAUUAAUUGAAGAGUGCAGGCCACUAUUCAGAACAUUGCUUUACAUUUCCCAGCUGUGUGAUAUUUAAUAACACUGUUUCCUACGACUCAACAAAAAAUGUACAAGUCUCAACGACAAUUGUCCCUUGCGAUCGCUCAACUACCUUUCCUGCUCUUUUUUUUUUGGUUGUUGUUUCAAAAUCUUUCCCUUUGCCGCUACAGGAAAUAAGAUCCUCGCGACUUGUGAUGAGUGAAUUACGACAUAAUAAAUUGUAUGAUGAAUUACUUUUUCCACCGGCCCACCCUGUAAAAGUAGGAAACUGGUGCAUCCUCGUCAGUUUUGGGGUACAGUACUGCGUGCAGAAAAAAAGUGUCACAAAGUUCAUCCUCUUCACCCUAACUGCUGUCAUUGCUAUGGCGUCAGCAAAGUGUGAAAGGUGUACAUUUGGCGGAUUACAGCAAUUGAACAGGAUGCAAAAAUAUUCCCAGUGUUUAUCUGUUGUGAAAAUCAUCCCUCUCUGGCCCCAUUUUAUGCCUGUAAGUAUUGUUUAAGUUAUUACUUAUGAACUUGUCAUGGCCAAAGCUAACCAACGGCAGACUGUAGAGAAACAAGGCUAGACUGAAGAUGAUAUUUCAAUCAUCUGUACCAUGGCUAACAGAGGCUAAUGCGGAGACCCACGCAGGCUCGGGCAAAAGAGACCAUUCCAAUUACUUGGCCGCUGAUUUAACUCAGAAAAGUUAAAAAGAAGCAAUUGGAACGCUCUCUGCUUCAUGUCAAGGAUAGAAAGCUCAAGUUCGAGGUUUGGACGGUGCCAUAUGGACGGCUGCAACCAACGGCGCCCACGUGACCGCUCCCAUCAGGUCAUCAGAAACCCCCUACGGAUUGCUGCGACGUCCGCACAGGAUGCUGACUGUCACAUUUCUUUUUUUUCCUAAGGACCUCCGACACCCGGUGACCUAAAAUCAGGUAUGUGACCCCUGCCCCCCCCAAAAAAAAACAUCUCUCUUUGUGUCACACAGGGCCUACACAUUCUCAUCCUGCAUUUUGCAAUGGGGAAUCGUCAAGAAUGUCUGAAAGGAAGUCCAAUUGUUCACGACAAAACAGUCUCACCUCAUACUACAUUGUCUGUUCGCGCACAAAAAAAAAAAAAAAA
Molecule: long non-coding RNA, 1588 nt
Organism: Hippocampus comes (tiger tail seahorse)
Lineage: Eukaryota; Metazoa; Chordata; Actinopteri; Syngnathiformes; Syngnathidae
Exons: 2
Source: RefSeq, a predicted model, not a curated record